Long non-coding RNA from Rattus norvegicus (Norway rat), 1191 nucleotides. RefSeq lists it as uncharacterized. The record is from RefSeq and is a predicted model, not a curated record. NCBI's taxonomy places the organism in Eukaryota, Metazoa, Chordata, Mammalia, Rodentia, Muridae.
AGCCCAGCACUGUAAUGGAAAUCUCCCUGGGAAGUUAAGCAUCCCAGGGCUGAUGGAGGCAAAGUACACCCUCCUGUACUUUAACAGAGCUCCGAGCUCAAGAACGGCCCCGGUUUCUCUCCUAGUGUGGGUGACAGAGGUGUCUAGCUUACUUUUUCUUGGACUCCCUGAUUCUUAGCUGAUCUGCAUCAAUGGGGAGCUUUUCCUCUGAGACCUGAAGCAUGGCAGUACAAGAGAUUUCAAGGCAGAACGGAAGGUCAAUAAAGAAAGCCAAAGGGGAUGGCGGCCUUGGUUCCCUGUUCCCCCAGCAGCUGUCCCCUGUAAGAGCUUCUGAACUACUGAGUGCCCUCGGAGUGGCCCCGCAUUGUUCUGACCUCUUGGAGCAGUUACCUCUGCUAACCAAAUUUAUGAGAGCCAGAAACAUCUGGUGGUUCGCUAUCUUCGUCCAGCUCUGAUGGCCUCUCCAUGUCAACAGAUGAAUGUGCCCUGAGUGCCUGUUAGUGUGGAUGAUAAUCAAGUCUGCAUUAGCAAAUGUUGGGGAUGGGGGCGGGCAGGGCAGACCCAUUCUGGGGCCUAACCAUGCAGUGUGGCAGAGUGGGCAACAAAGGGGAGGUGGCCAGAUACACAAAAGUGCUUACGCCAGAAGGCCUGACACGCUGCAGGCGGUCCGUGACAUCUUGUGGCUUUGGGCUGUUGUUGAGUGUGAUGUGUGUCACCGUCAUGAUGGAUGACUUUCAGAUCUUUCCCAUUAUAUCAUAUCUGUAAGAAAUUCCCUCUUCCUCAAAUGUCUUUUUGUCCCCUUACCCUUGGGCUGCAGAUGGCACCUGCCCACGCACUCCCAUUGUGCAAAGCCUACAGAGGACGGCACCAUUCCUCAGAGGUUCUGCUCAUGCUUGAAUUGCUAGCAUUCAAUUAAGACUUGAAAUUAUGGCUUUAGGCAGUUUAACCUCUUUGAGCAGACGGAAUGGGAGCUACACUGACCACUUGGGAAUUUCCUGGGGUGUCCCGGAUAGGUUUCCCUCCUUGAGAUCUGAAAGGGCUGAAUUGCCAGGCAAAACAAAGGCAAGUGUUCCCUUUUACACUCUUUGGUUAAAUUAUUUUCUAUAAUGAAAAAAGAAAACUCUCCUGGUGAGUAAAGUCAUGUGCAUACAUGGAUUCCUCAGAAAAAUACAAAAUUCCCUCAACUGCAAA